Long non-coding RNA from Phyllostomus discolor (pale spear-nosed bat), 952 nucleotides. RefSeq lists it as uncharacterized. The transcript has 2 exons. NCBI's taxonomy places the organism in Eukaryota, Metazoa, Chordata, Mammalia, Chiroptera, Phyllostomidae. The record is from RefSeq and is a predicted model, not a curated record.
AAUACAGAUUUUUAAAGUAGAGAAAAUUGAAAUAUUACAAUAAAAUGAAAGCAAAAUAAAAAUUAAUGCACAGAAAGGAAUUCUAUAAGCAGUUUUCCCAAAUACUAAAGUUUGGCUAUGAAUUCAGUUCUGACUUCUUGGCAGCUAAAGCAAAUGAGAAAACAUAAUGAAAUUCACAUACCUCUUAGGAUUUAUAAAAGCAUAUCAGUUCCCAAGAUGAGCAAAGUUUUGUGGCUCUUCUGAGAAGACACUGAGUGAUAUAGAGGACACCACCAUCUAUAAUACCUGAGAGGAAAUACGUUGAGUUUUGCACCAUUGUUUCUUAUAGAAACACCAAGUGGGGAUUCAGUAGGUCCUAAGCUUGUUCUAUCAGUCUUAUCACAGUUUAGCUCAAAUAUGCUGUAUGUUGCUACAGUUUAACAUAGGGCUAAAUUUUAGACUAUCUAAAUGGACAAAUGGAUUGUUUAUCCUUCAAACAGUUUUCUGUAAAUGUUAUUUCUCCAAAUGACACUUUUGAUAAAAGUUAAGUAAAAGUUACAUUUUUAGCAAAUUGAUGGAUUGUAGAUAUUUUGGGUUUUUACUUAAGACCACAUCCUUUGAAAACUUUCAAAGCUGCCUUAAAUGUGGAUACAGGCAAAAUAUAAAUAACUUAUUUUAAAAAUUAACCAAAAGCCUAAUGUGAUGCAAUUCUUCAUUCAAUCAUUUAUGCAGCAAACAUUUAAGCAUCUUCUGUGUGCUAAGCACAGUUGUAGGCACUGAGUUAGAGAAGCGAACAAACAGGCACAGAUUUCUACCUUCAUGUUACUUACAUUCUAGUAAAAGAAAUAAACAAUAAGUAAAUUUCAUAGUAUUCACUAACAUAACAUUUCAUGUUAGGUGACAAAUGCUAUGAAGAAAAGUAAUGCAUUUGCACAGGAUUGGAAGAUGUACAUAUGUAUAGAUUUCAAUGUUU